GCAGGCUGACAGGCUGGCAGCAGCAGAUGCUGGGGCGCGUGAAGGGGCGCGUGAAGGUCACCUGCCUCGCGCCUCAGGCCUGCCUGGCUGGAGCUGGUGGACGCGCUGGAAGGAUCUGCUGCUUGGCCACUCCCUCCCCCACAGCCUCACGUGUUUCCUCCGAGCGGAACUUCUUCACACAGGCCCACAGGAGGGGAUCCAUAAACCAGGCUCAUUAACCAGCUGAAAGGCAAGUAGCUGGGGACCCGGGCUGUGGCGCUAGGAAGAUUCAAACACACCACAUUUGUUUAUUUUCUUAAAAGUUUCUGAGCGAAUGUAUAUUUCUGCAUGUUUAGAGAUUGGCAGCCCCAGAAAAUGAAGUUUAUUUAUCCACCAGAUACACAUCACAUAAACAGCUGCACACGGCUCUGCCUCCCCAAGAGGCUGCGGCACUGGCAGCUGAGCGACGGCCCCACGUUCCUGCACACUCUGCCCUCAGCCCGGCCUUGGGGUGAGCCUGUGGGAGGCGGGCAGCCUGCUUCUGGCACUGGGUGGGGUUGAGACCAAAGCUCUAUGCACUGGGGAGAGCUUCCAGAAUCUUCUCUGGCAGUUGCAAAUCAUUUCAUUGAUGUGUUCACUCAACAAUCAAUGCUUGUUCCCAGGCCCUGUGUUAGACUCUGUGGAUGCCCAGAUCAGACUGGCCCCUGGCAAGCCCUCCUCUCCCAGUGGAGAGCCUGGAGAAGCAGUGUCCUGAGGGGCCUGCCUGUCCCUUCUGUUACCCCAGCAGCGACAGCUGUCCCUCGUCCUCCUCCAGCUCCGUUCCCAUGAGUGCCUGGGGAAGUGAGCUCAAGGACGCUUCCGGAAAUGAGAAGAGGUCAGGAUGUUAAAGUGUUUGGAAGUCAUUCUUUGCUCUCCAUGAAACUCCGCAGUGGCUGGGGACCACUCUGCAUCUGCACGUGUUUUAAUUUAUUAAAUGCGGACGUCCGAAAACCCCGGAGCCAGACCCCUGGGCUGCUGAAGGGAUGUAUCAGACCUUUCCUCUUCCUCUGCAUCUCAGGGCAGGUAACAUGAGUGAGCAAGGGGAGUCAGCCCUGGCAAGCUGGCCCCAGAGCUAUGGCCCCUGGGAGGCUAGCUUGGCAAGAGGGCUCGAAUGCUAUUUUCCUUUCUAGGAAGAGCAGUUUACACUUACUAGAUGGAUUGUCAUUGGACCAGGAGAGGCAGAGGUUGCAAUUUCUUGUCCCCAAAUUGCUUUUCUUGGGAACCUUGCUGCCCUUGAGUCAGUCCCUUCCUUUCUCUCCAGCCAGGGAACAGCAGGACUCGCGGGCAGCCCUGGAUCUCACAGACAGGUGCAGCACAGCUGGGAGGGUGGCCUCCCAGCACAGUGGGACUUGGACAAUGGCCAAGAUGUGCCUUUGGAUGGACUAGGAGAUGGGAGAGGGCCACAAGGACAAGGGCACACAGACUAAGUAAGGGGCAGGGGGAAACGCUGAGCUCAAGGUGAGCGGGGCCAGCCAGGAAGGGAAGCCAGGAGGAGACACGGUUGUCCACCUCCUGUCACACACUCACUUGCCGUCCUGGUCUGUGCUCACAGUGACCUAGAGGGGACCCGACUUGGGCAUUGCUUCCAGCUACUGUUUAUUAAGCCAGCCAGAAUUAGGCCCUGUGCUAACGGCUUUUUCAGCAGUGUCUGAAUUGUUUUGGGAUGAAUGGUGACCCCGUCAGAUAGAUGCUGAGGUCUUAUCCCCGGUAUCUAUGAAUAUGACCUUAUUUGGAAGAAGGAUCUUUGUGGCAGAUGUCAUCAAGCUAAGACACGUUUGUAAGGGCCAGCCCUAACUCAGCAAGACUGGUGUCCUUACAAAAAGAUCAAGUUGGUCACGUGCACACAGGGAGAACACUGUGUGGUGACGGACGCAGUGAGCAGGUGCCGCAGCAGCCAGCUGAGGAUGCUGAGGUUGGCCCAGGACCUCUGGUGACCAUGAGGAGCUGGCACAGCUGGGAAAGGCGCCUCCUAUGGGCCUCAGAGGCAGCACAGCAGCCUUGAUCAGGGACUUCCAGCAUCUGGAGCUGAGGUGGCACGUUCCUGUGGUUUCAAGCCACCUGAUUUGUGCCUUGUUUCCCCCACAAGUUCAUUAUCCCAUCUGAGGUAGGUGGAGCAAAGGACCCCCAAGUCCCAAAUUUAAUCCCCAGAAUCUGGAAAAAUAGACUUUGCUGAUGGAAAGGGAAUUAAUGUUCCCUUGAAAUAGGGAGGUUAUUUGGUGAACCUCAGACAGGGACCACCAUGGGGACAAGGGACAAAUGCACUUCUAGGUCUUGGGUAUUGGCCUGAAAGCAGACCCCAGGAGGCUUGGUGUGCGCCAGCUUUGUAUCAUUGAGGUCAGGUGCCCUGUGUGCGCUCUUGAACAGCUGGGGUAACGGCACAGGGCAAGAUGCUUGAGUUAAGUACACAAAGCCAAUUAGUGUCCCCACCCCUGCAAGUAGCCCAUGAAACAGGUCCCCUUCUUUGGUUUGGGGAACCACCGUGACAUCUUCUCACUGGAGCCGUCUCCCUUCCUAAAGGGAAGCCCCAGGGAAGGUCUUGCCUGCACUUUCACUGAGCCGACUUGAUUUUGUUUCUACUGUCAUUGGGUGAAAAGACCCCAGCAUCCGACAUCAGACCCAUCUCAUCACCUGGGGCCUUUCAAAGCAGAGAACUCUCUUCAGCUGAAGCAGAAGCCAGGCGGCAGAGGCUCAUUGUCCUUGUUGGCUUUGAAAGUGGAGGAAGGAGCUGACAGAGGCUCCCUGCUGGUGGCCCUAACAGGAGAGGGGACCUGGGCUCUACAGCACAGGACAGAAUCUGGCAAGCACCACAGAGCCUGCGAGGAACAGGGCCCUGGCGACAUUACAUUUUGGCAGAGCUCACCCAGACUUCUGACUAUGACUGUGAGGUGGUAUAUUGCGUGAUUUGAAGCCCACAGUGUGUGGCGAGUUGUGACAGCAGCAAUAGGAAGUGACUUAACCAUCACAGGGGUAGCAACAGGGGUAGCAGCUCAGGCACAGCAUGAAAGGUGUUAUGGUUGGAUGUGAGGUGUCCCCCAAAAGCUCACAUGUGAGACAAUGCAAGAAGGUUUAGAGGAGAAAUGAUGGGGUUGUGAGAGUCUUAACCCAGUCAGUGGAUUAAUCCCUGAUGGGGUUAACUGAGUGGUCAUUGAAGUGAUGGAACGUGGCUGGAGGAGGUGGGAGUUCAGGCGUGGCUUUGGGUAUAUAUUUUGUAUCUGGAGAGUGGAUUCUCUCUCUCUCUCUCUCCACUUUCUGAUCAUCAUGUGAACUGCUUCCCUCUGCCACACUUUCCGCCAUGAUGUUGAGACUCACCUUGAGCCCCAAGGAUUAGAGCUGGCCUUCUGUGGACUAAGACUUGUGACAUCGUGAGCCUCAAAUAAACUUUUCCUCCUCCACAGUUGUUCUGGUUGGGUCCUCUUAGUGGCAGAGUGAAAGAGCUGACUAAACAAGAGGUUAGGUGAGCUUGCCCAAGUUCAGAGACGGAAACCCAGGUCUGCUGACCCCAAGUCCCCAAGGCUUGCCCAUUUGAAGCUAAAGAAUCUGUGGCAGUGGUAGGCAGUAGGUGAGCUGAGUCUGGAUUAGCGGCACUGGACGUGACAUGACAGGGAUCUGUGGUCCCUCAGGUUGAGAUGGCUGGUGGCUGACUCUGGUGGCGUCACAGAGAUGAUUGGGGUGGCAGAAAGUAGGUUCUGAGGACCAAGGCCUGGAAGAGCAGCAGAGCCAGCGCCGGAAAAAGCCAGAAAGGCAGCCGGGGCAGGCACAUCUACAGCAGGAACUCACCUGUCUCCAUCUUGAACAAGGGCUCCGUUUACCCCUCAGCCCCCUCAGAUGGCAGAAAAGGGGUGAGGGAGCCAGCCAUGGUGGCUGAGGGGCUGCCGGCACAGGCUCUGUUGCUGGCCCCUCCCAGGACCCCACACUAGCCUUGGGCAAGAAGGCAGAAACCAGGAGAUGUCAUUUCUUGGAGACAUGGCCACUGGGCGCUGGAUGGUAGCCAGGCUUCCUCUUGAGAACAGGUAUCAGAGACCGGCUGCCAGGGACCUGCUGGCAGUGACCACUCUGUCUAGUUCCUGGUGAACCCCGUGCUGUGAUGGCCUGGGGUGUGGAGGCCAUCACUGUGACAAGAACUGAUCCCAGCUGCACAUUUCAGAGGCACAGGCUCAACCCCAGGGCUCGGAACUUCAUUCAAGAGGAGACAUGAUUUAUAAUAGAUGUUUAUCAUCAUUGCCAUAUAUCCACAGAGCGCUGUCAAUCCAUAAAUCAACCACCUAGAAAUAGGCCCGAACUGCCAAAGAGUGGCCCUGGAAACCAACGCCAGGGGAGACAGUGCAGAGCUCCUGGUCAGGCCUAUCCCCCAUACUCGAAGGACUUCUCUGGCCUAGGUCUGGGAUGGAGGAAGUUCUCAGUGGUUGUGGGAGGAAUGUCUGCCCCCCUGAACUUGCCCUGACCACUUGUCCUGUGAGAGGGACUCCUACCUAGCACAGAGCCGCCAUAGGAGAAUACUCAGUUCAAUCUGAAUUUCACAAUUAAUUUUGUUCUAAUGCGUAUACGUACCGUGCAAUAUUUGCUCAUGUAAUGUCAGGGACUCAUUUAUACUAAAACUUUUUUAUUAUCUGGAAUUAAAAUUGAAUUGGGCAUUCUGCAAAAAAAUGAUUAAAAAAUAUUUUUAGUCAUAGUUUUUGGACAUAAUGCCUUUAUUUUAUUUAUUUUUAUGUGCUGCUGAGGAUCGAAGCCAGUGUCUCACGUGUGCCAAGUGAGUGCUCUAUCACUGAGCUAUAACCCCAGCCCUGGCUUUCUGUGUUUUUAUCAGCUAAAUUUGGCAACCAGACCCUCUGUGUUCUAAGUGGUGUUGUCUUAUUUAGAGACAAUGAGACCAACAAUCGUCUUUUAUUUCUGAUUUGAAGCAUAAAGGAGAUUUUUACAAAGAAAAUAAAUGGAUCCUUUCCUUGUCCACAGAAGAUAGCACAAAGGGGAUUUAAAACAAAUGAAGGCUUGGUUGGAUAAAAUGAAGAAUCUGCUGACUACAAAGAUGAGCUAACAAGGGAAUGACUUUCCGUGUGAUGUUGACGGACCUUUGGAAAAAAGAGAACAAACUCUCUGCCCCAGACAGCGUAAGCCACACCAGGAUCCACGGUGUUAGAGGUAAAUCCUGACAAUGGUUAAUCCAAUAGUCACAGCCUAAAAAUAAAGACACAGAAGCUCAAAAGGGUCGAAAGACUUGUCCAGGGUCACAGCAAAGAGAAGUACCAAGAAGUAAGGCCAGGGUUGGGAUGGGGUCCAGCAAGGGAGGUCUGAAUGCCCCUAGUCUGGAAAUGACACCAGAAAACAUGUAGUGAUCAUUAACCAGGAACCAAGCACUUCACUGAGGCACUUUAUCCAAUCUGCACAGCCUCUGUGAAAUAGGUCUCUGCAUUCCAUCCUCCCUUGGUACCUGUCUGUGGGUGCUGGUUCCAUGACCACCUAUAGAUGCAUCUGGAGAUGUUCCAGGCUCUGGUAUAAAAUGGCAGGGUGUUUGCAUAUAGCCUGCAUGCAUCCUUCCAGAUGCUGUAAGUUUUCUCUAGAUCUUUAAUACAGCAUAAAUACGCUGUAAUAGUUGUUCUGUCUUGUUUAGGGAGUAAUGACACACACACAAAGUCUACACAUGUUCAUUGCAGAUACAAUGUUCCCUCCACUUAUUGUCUCAUCUGCAGAUGUUGGAAGCUAUAGAUCUGGAAAGCCAACUUUGAUACCUCAUUCUGCAGAGGAGACUGUGGCAGGAAGGGCAGAUGUAGGGCCCACACCACAUCUGGACACAGGUGAGACCGGGAUACAUCCCCUCCCACCACCACAGGGAAAUACAACGCCAAAGCCACACUUCUUCCUGUGACCCUGCAAACUUGACCAAACUCUGUCUCCACAGCCCCCCAUUACCUUGGGGGUCAAAGAGGGCAAUCUCAAAGGGUCCUUGUGACUGAAAUGUGAACACUCAUUGAAGCCAUGAUUGUAGCUGCUUGGAACCUAGUGAGCACCAACGAAUGUCCUCCAGCAGGCACCCACUCCAUGCUCACGGGCAGUUGCUGUGGUUCUGCAAGUGGGGAGUCCCGAAGGCUCUGGAUGACCUGAUGAAAGGGCGGGUGGCAGGCAGAGAAGAGACAGGAAAACCCAGGGUCCUAAAGCUCCCGUUCCAGGGUGGUGGUGGUGAUGCCAGGAAGCAGGGAGGUGUUUAACUCUCGAGAAAUGUCAGCCCAGAGCCAGGCACUGAUUGGCUUGGGUG
RNAcentral lists this long non-coding RNA (6265 nucleotides) under Marmota monax (woodchuck). Lineage: Eukaryota; Metazoa; Chordata; Mammalia; Rodentia; Sciuridae. The record is from RNAcentral.